ACGCUCGACACCUACGGGGGGCAGCAGUCGGGAAUAUUGCGCAAUGGAGGAAACUCUGACGCAGUGACGCCGCGUGCAGGAAGAAGGUUUUCGGAUUGUAAACUGCUUUAGACAGGGAAGAAAAAGGACAGUACCUGUAGAAUAAGCUCCGGCUAACUACGUGCCAGNCGCGNGUAUNGNGGCGGNGUGACGAGC
RNAcentral lists this ribosomal RNA (195 nucleotides) under uncultured bacterium. RNAcentral describes it as "partial 16S ribosomal RNA". It matches the Rfam family "Bacterial small subunit ribosomal RNA", at positions 328 to 530 of the family's 1533-position model. The record is from RNAcentral.